RNAcentral lists this ribosomal RNA (483 nucleotides) under uncultured bacterium. Its description in RNAcentral is "partial 16S ribosomal RNA". It matches the Rfam family "Bacterial small subunit ribosomal RNA", at positions 28 to 507 of the family's 1533-position model. The record is from RNAcentral.
GACGAACGCUGGCGGCGUGCUUAACACAUGCAAGUCGAACGCUGAAGCUCAGCUUUUGUUGGGUGGAUGAGUGGCGAACGGGUGAGUAACACGUGAGUAACCUGCCCCCUUCUUUGGGAUAACGCCCGGAAACGGGUGCUAAUACUGGAUAUUCACUGGUCUUCGCAUGGGGGUUGGUGGGAAGGGUUUUUCUGGUGGGGGAUGGGCUCGCGGCCUAUCAGCUUGUUGGUGGGGUGAUGGCCUACCAAGGCUUUGACGGGUAGCCGGCCUGAGAGGGUGACCGGUCACAUUGGGACUGAGAUACGGCCCAGACUCCUACGGGAGGCAGCAGUGGGGAAUAUUGCACAAUGGGCGCAAGCCUGAUGCAGCGACGCCGCGUGAGGGAUGGAGGCCUUCGGGUUGUGAACCUCUUUCGCUCAUGGUCAAGCCGCAACAAUGGUUGUGGUGAGGGUAGUGGGUAAAGAAGCGCCGGCUAACUACGUG